Molecule: ribosomal RNA, 215 nt
Filed under: uncultured bacterium
Lineage: Bacteria
Description: partial 16S ribosomal RNA
Rfam family: Bacterial small subunit ribosomal RNA
Source: RNAcentral
CGAGCAAUCUGCCCUUCACAUCGGAAUAACCAUUGGAAACGAUGGCUAAUACCGAAUAUGACUUCGGAUCGCAUGAUCUGAAGUGGAAAGCUCCGGCGGUGAAGGAUGAGCUCGCGGCCUAUCAGCUUGUUGGUGAGGUAAUAGCUCACCAAGGCGAUGACGGGUAGCCGGCCUGAGAGGGUGACCGGCCACACUGGGACUGAGACACGGCCAGA